CAGGAUUUAUUUUUUUAGUCACUCAAAGGGCUUUGAAGGGUCCUGCACCGAUCCAGUGUUAUCUCAUGGUGUCUGUAUCUCUAUCUUAUCUUUUUACAACCCCUUAUCAUUACGGUCAUACCAAAUGCACUGAUAAAGCUGAAUUUAUAUGCACCAGGGUGAGGCAGAGGUGCAACCUCCACUCCUUCAUCUGGGAAGCAAAGCAGGACAGGUGAGACCCUUCAGGUUAUCUCAGAGGACACGAGACGCCCAGUUCAGGGCAUCUGAGUUCAGUCUUGGACAUCCCAAAGGCCAGUCUGGGAGAUUUCAUUGCCCUGAUCCCACUUGGAGAAGCCUUCCUGGAAUCACAGAUUGUCCCAAGUUGUAAGGGACCCAUCAGGAUCACCAAGUCCAGCUCCUGGCCCUGCACAGACCAUCCCCAAGAGCCACAUCCUGUGCCCAAGGGUGUUGUCCAAACUCUGCUUGAUGGUCUUUCAGGUCAAGAACAUUUCAACCCAAGGAAAAUGCUGGGAAUAGCUGCCAGCCCCAGGCUCCCUCUGCUUUCUUCCCAAGUUCCUUCCUCCCAGCUCUGACUUCCCCAUGGCGCUCACCACAGGCAGGGGAUGGGGACUGAAUUUGCUUCCCUGUGCAGUGAAGGGCUGUUCCCACCCCACAGGAGGAGUCACAUCAGUGCCACCCAGAACGAGGGAUUCAACAGAAACAACCCCUGUCCCCUUGGAGCCCAACCUGACAACCACAGCAAUGGCCCGAAUGUCCUUUUUGCCACCAGGUGGAGCUGGGAGAGAAUUCCUUGGAAGGGGCCAGCUGACAGCACCCCAGGAUGAAGGAACCUCCUGCUCUCUCGUGUGACGGGAUCCAAGGACGGGCCCACCAAGAGCAGAUAAAACCUCGGGAAAUCUCCGAAUCCAAGUGUGAGUCACCAGAAGAGUUGAUUUGAAAGGACAGCUGUACUAACAUUGACUAAGAUGCCUAUUAAAAAUAUUGGCAACCAUGGAGGGAUCACUCAGUAUUUGAUCAUCCAUUUUGGAAAUUAGUAAAACAAUCCACAGAGAUUCUGAAUAAUAUUUUCAUGUCAAGAUAAGGAGUUUUAAUUUGUGGGCGUUUUUUAGCAUUUUACGAUUUCCUCCCAAUUUUACUCAGGAAAUCAUAGAAACACAAAAUACUCCUACUUUGGUGGAACUGAUAUUUGAAACAAAAACAGAAGCCUAGGCUACGUUUGGUGAACCUAAUUAUGAUUUUCCCCCAUGAUCCAUUAUUCUCUUUAUUAGCCUGUGACAAACUGCCUGAGGUUUCUGGGAAAUGAGCAAUUAAUUCCAUGUCCUUGGGGGCUCAGUUUGUGUGUGGUUUAAUGCCUGGGUAAUGCACAAGGCUUUGGGGGCACUUGGAGCCUUUCUGGGAAAAUCCUCA
Molecule: long non-coding RNA, 1407 nt
Filed under: Taeniopygia guttata (zebra finch)
Lineage: Eukaryota; Metazoa; Chordata; Aves; Passeriformes; Estrildidae
Description: lncRNA (ENSTGUG00000021706.1)
Source: RNAcentral